Molecule: ribosomal RNA, 736 nt
Filed under: uncultured Burkholderiales bacterium
Lineage: Bacteria; Pseudomonadati; Pseudomonadota; Betaproteobacteria; Burkholderiales
Description: SSU rRNA
Rfam family: Bacterial small subunit ribosomal RNA
Source: RNAcentral
CACAUGCAAGUCGAACGGCAGCACGGAGCUUGCUCUGGUGGCGAGUGGCGGACGGGUGAGUAAUAUAUCGGAACGUACCCUAGAGUGGGGGAUAACGUAGCGAAAGUUACGCUAAUACCGCAUACGAUCUAAGGAUGAAAGUGGGGGAUCGCAAGACCUCAUGCUCGUGGAGCGGCCGAUAUCUGAUUAGCUAGUUGGUANGGUAAAAGCCUACCAAGGCAUCGAUCAGUAGCUGGUCUGAGAGGACGACCAGCCACACUGGAACUGAGACACGGUCCAGACUCCUACGGGAGGCAGCAGUGGGGAAUUUUGGACAAUGGGCGAAAGCCUGAUCCAGCAAUGCCGCGUGAGUGAAGAAGGCCUUCGGGUUGUAAAGCUCUUUUGUCAGGGAAGAAACGGUGAAAGCUAAUAUCUUUUGCUAAUGACGGUACCUGAAGAAUAAGCACCGGCUAACUACGUGCCAGCAGCCGCGGUAAUACGUAGGGUGCAAGCGUUAAUCGGAAUUACUGGGCGUAAAGCGUGCGCAGGCGGUUUUGUAAGUCUGAUGUGAAAUCCCCGGGCUCAACCUGGGAAUUGCAUUGGAGACUGCAAGGCUAGAAUCUGGCAGAGGGGGGUAGAAUUCCACGUGUAGCAGUGAAAUGCGUAGAUAUGUGGAGGAACACCGAUGGCGAAGGCAGCCCCCUGGGUCAAGAUUGACGCUCAUGCACGAAAGCGUGGGGAGCAAACAGGAUUAGAU